This 663-nucleotide ribosomal RNA is filed under the name uncultured archaeon. RNAcentral describes it as "bacterial SSU rRNA". It matches the Rfam family "Archaeal small subunit ribosomal RNA", at positions 238 to 904 of the family's 1478-position model. The record is from RNAcentral.
GGUGUAAAGGACCACCAUGGCUACGAUCGGUAUGGGCGAUGGAAGUCGGAGCCCAGAGUCGGCUACUGAGACAAGGAGCCGAGCUUUACGAAGCUUAGCGGUCGCGAAAACUCGCCAAUGCACGAAAGUGUGAGUGGGCUACUCCAAGUGACAUUCUUACGGAUGUCUGUCGCACAGUCUUACCAGCUGUGAAAGGAAGGAGAGGGCAAGGCUGGUGCCAGCCGCCGCGGUAAAACCAGCUCUUCGAGUGGUCAGGACGAAUAUUGGGUCUAAAGCGCUCGUAGCCGGACAAGUAGGUUCUUGGUUAAACCCGACAGCAUAACUGUUGGCAUGCUGGGAAUACCGCUAGUCUUGGAAGCGGGAGAGGACAGAGGUAGUCAUAGGGCAGGGGUGAAAUCCAGUGAUCCUAUGGCGACCACCGAUGGCGAAGGCAUCUGUCUGGAACGUAUUCGACGGUGAGGGGCGAAAGCUAGGGGAGCGACCCGGAUUAGAUACCCGGUUAGUCCUAGCCGUAAACGAUGCGGACUAGGUGUUACAGCGGCCAAGAGCCACUGUAGUGCCACAGCGAAGGCGUUAAGUCCGCCACCUGGGGAGUACGGAUGCAAGUCUGAAACUUAAAGGAAUUGACGGGGGCGCACCACCAGGAGUGAAGCCUGCGGUUUA